GGGAGCCCAGACACAGGACGGGGAAACGGCCAGAGGGGGCCGUCGUCUGUCUUCUCUGUCGCCCUGACAGCCUUGCUCUGUCUCAUUGACUGCUUCACCACCCCUCACAGCUUCUCCGGGUGUCUUUGGGAUGCUGCACAUCUUUCCAGGAUAGUGAACGGUCUCUGGUGCAUUGAAGCCGCAAGAAAGACUCAUUUGAGGUAGUUUGAGGAUGGACAUUGGAUCAUCAAGUGAUUCCUGGCCCCCGGAGGAUAUGCCCUGCAAGGCUACUGCUGAAAGCAGGAGAGACGUAUGAGGCUGACCUGGAUCCCACCAGGAGUCCAGAACCAAGCCCUGCUGAGCUCAUGCUAGAUCAGCUUGCCCCCAGACCACCAACAGGUAUGUGACUGAGAAGAAAUAAUUAUUUCAUAAAACCACUAAGGCUUUGUUUUUUUAAGUUAAAAUUCACCUAAGAUUCAGCAUGUUAACCAUUUUACAGCAUCCAAUUCAGCAGUAUUUAGUACACUCAUGGUGUUAUGUAAGUAUCACCACUAGCAUUUUCUAAUGCUAGUGCUAGGCUUCAUACCCACGGGGAUGAUUUUCUAGCUCUAGCAUUUUCAUCACUCCUGAAGGACACCUAAAACCCACUAAGCCUUCACUUCCCAUUCCCCCCCUCUUCCCUAGGUCCUGCCAAACAUGAAUCAGCUGUUUCCAGGAAUUUUUCUCUUCUGGAUGUUUCAUAUGAAUAAGAUUACACACUAUCUAUCCUUAGCAUAACUGUUUUGAGGUUCAUCUAUGUUUUGACAGGUAGUACCUCGUUCUUCUUUAUGGCCGAAUAAUAUUCCAUUAUAUGGAUAGAUCAUAUUUUGUUAUCCAGUUGAUAGACAUUUGGAUUGUCUCUGCCUUUUAGCUAUUGUGAAUAAUGCUGCUCUUCACAUUUUUGUACAAGUUUUGUUUGAACAACUGUUUUCAAUUA
Molecule: long non-coding RNA, 955 nt
Filed under: Capra hircus (goat)
Lineage: Eukaryota; Metazoa; Chordata; Mammalia; Artiodactyla; Bovidae
Description: lncRNA (ENSCHIG00000006377.1)
Source: RNAcentral